This 438-nucleotide ribosomal RNA is filed under the name Polistes japonicus. Its description in RNAcentral is "partial 16S rRNA". Lineage: Eukaryota; Metazoa; Arthropoda; Insecta; Hymenoptera; Vespidae. The record is from RNAcentral.
AAAUUAAAUGAAAAGUAAUAAUAAAAUUUUAAAAUUUAAGUUUAAGGAAUUAGGCAAAUAUUUUUAAAAAAUAUAAAUUUAUAUUUACCUGUUUAUCAAAAACAUGUCUUAUUGAUUUAAAUAAUAAGUUUAUUCUGCCCAUUGAAAUAAAAAUUUUAAAAGGCUGCAGUAUAUUAACUGUACAAAGGUAGCAAAAUCAAUAGUUUUUUAAUUGAAAACUUGAAUGAAAGAAUUAAUAAAAUAUAUUCUGUCUCAAAUUUAAUUAAUUUAUUAAAUUUAAAUAAAAAGUUAAAAUGCUUUUAUUGAUUUAUUAGACGAUAAGACCCUAAGAAUUUAAGAAUUUUAUUUUAUAAUUAAAUUUUAUAAUUAAUUAAUUAAUAAAUUAAUUUUUUUUUAUUGGGAGGGUAAUUAAAUUUUUAAACUUUAAUUAUUUAUAAA